GUUCAGAGCUGAGGAUUGAAGAAAUUAACAGAGGCUGAGAGGGCUUCUUACUACUACUUGGUUGGAUCACGCAACAGCAUGGACUCUCAUAACUCAAGCUUUCUACUUCCACUUCCAGGAGAUUCGACUAAGAAUCUGUCCGAGCUGAAUAUGUUACAAAAAGAGUUGGAAGAUAAGGAAUCAAUGAUUAAAGAUCUGAAGCGUGAAAUCGAAUCAACGGAGAUUCGUUUAAGAACUAGCAACCAUGAAAUUCCAAAGGAAAAGAAGGAAGCUUUCAGAACCUUGAGAGAACAGUAUAACAAGCUGCGAGAUGAGUAUAAUGCAUUAUUGGCGGAAAAUAUAAAGAAAAAAGAAGAGUAAAGGUAUGAUCAAGUCUUCAUAUUCCAACUCUUACCUCCUUGUGUUUAUCAGAGAGAGAGAAUUUGGGCAUUAGUAGUUGGGUAUUGUUUUCUUAGUAAAAGAUCUUCAAGGUCAGUUAUGUAGUAGCAGUAGUACAACCAUGGCAAGCUAUCUUUGCAUGAAUCCAUGUUUUUCAGAUGAGAUUCUUAACAAGCUUGGUCUAUGCUAGUUUGUUUUUAAGAGCCCUUA
This is a non-coding RNA of Nelumbo nucifera (sacred lotus), 588 nucleotides long. Lineage: Eukaryota; Viridiplantae; Streptophyta; Magnoliopsida; Proteales; Nelumbonaceae. The record is from RefSeq and is a predicted model, not a curated record.